GGGGAUAUAGCUCAGUGGUGUAGCACCUGCCUGACAAGCAUAAAGUCCUGAGUUUGGAUCUUGGUACCCCCC
RNAcentral lists this transfer RNA (72 nucleotides) under Cavia porcellus (domestic guinea pig). It matches the Rfam family "tRNA". From Rfam's summary of the family: Transfer RNA (tRNA) molecules are approximately 80 nucleotides in length. Their secondary structure includes four short double-helical elements and three loops (D, anti-codon, and T loops). Lineage: Eukaryota; Metazoa; Chordata; Mammalia; Rodentia; Caviidae. The record is from Rfam by way of RNAcentral.